AUUGAACGCUGGCGGCAGGCUUAACACAUGCAAGUCGAGCGGGGUGAUGGUGCUUGCACUAUCACUUAGCGGCGGACGGGUGAGUAAUGCUUAGGAAUCUGCCUAUUAGUGGGGGACAACAUCUCGAAAGGGAUGCUAAUACCGCAUACGUCCUACGGGAGAAAGCAGGGGAUCACUUGUGACCUUGCGCUAAUAGAUGAGCCUAAGUCGGAUAGCUAGUUGGUGGGGUAAAGGCCUACCAAGGCGACGAUCUGUAGCGGGUCUGAGAGGAUGAUCCGCCACACGGGGACUAGAACACGGCCCAGACUCCUACGGGAGGCAGCAGGAGGGAAUAUUGGACAAGGGGGGGAAUCCUGAUCCAGCCCUGCCGCGUGUGUGAAGAAGGCCUUAUGGUUGUAAAGCACUUUAAGCCAGGAGGAGGCUCUUUUGGUUAAUACCCAAGAUGAGUGGACGUUACUCGCAGAAUAAGCACCGGCUAACUCUGUGACAGCCGCCGCCGUAA
RNAcentral lists this ribosomal RNA (502 nucleotides) under uncultured bacterium. RNAcentral's name for it is "partial 16S ribosomal RNA". It matches the Rfam family "Bacterial small subunit ribosomal RNA", at positions 30 to 523 of the family's 1533-position model. The record is from RNAcentral.